Molecule: non-coding RNA, 1061 nt
Organism: Rattus norvegicus (Norway rat)
Lineage: Eukaryota; Metazoa; Chordata; Mammalia; Rodentia; Muridae
Source: RefSeq, a predicted model, not a curated record
UUUUGUUUUGUUUUUUUUGAGACAAGUCUCUCUCUAUGUAAUCCCUAGCUGUCCUAGAACUCACUAUAUAGACCAGGCUGCCUAGUACUCAUAGAGACCUGCCUGCCUCUGCUGUCCUAAUCCUGGAAUUAAAGGUGCAUGAACCAUCACAUCUGGCCUGCAAAACAUUUUAAAGGCGUCAUCACAGACUCCUCACAACUCUCAUUUCACUGUACUAUGAAGCAGGGGAGACAGACUCAGACAGCUGCCCUUUAAGACUCAUCGAGACCUGACAGCUCAUAGGAAUGUGUUUGUGUGUUUGCUCACACUGUAAACCCUGAGAUCCCCCUGCAGGAAUGCAGAUGCACCUUCUGUACUCAUCGUUAAUCCCAAACAAUGAAGGUAGAGUUAGUUUAUAGAAGGAAGCACCCGUGUUUGAAAGUGAUGUCUAAUCGUGGUAGACAAAGUGUCAAAUCAGAGAAAGAUCUGACAGAAUAGGAUAGGCCCAACUCUCAGGAGAAGAGAGAGGAAAGGGAAGCUACUUAAGGGGCAGUGCAGACAGAAGAAGGAAGGAGGCACCUUUACCAGGAGAGUUUUACAAAGACAAAGAGAGAACAAGCUGAACAGGUGAACACAGAACAAGCCAGAGAAUUAGAACAGAUUGCUAGCCUUAGUUUGAGCCAAGCAGAGUGAUUCAACCGAAGAGCUAGUCGGAAGCCAGUUUGGGUCAGUCAGCUUGGAGAGGAGUCUGAGCCAGAGCAGCUGAGGUGAAUCAGCCAAUCAGAGAGCAGAAAGAAGUAGAAAGGGUGAGCGUAUUGAGCAGCAAGUCUCAGAGGCUGAAAACAUUCUAGGCCUGGAUUAGAUUGUACGGCGACUAGAAGUUUCCAGGACUAGGACUGGGUUAGCAGACAGAGGCAGUGAGCCUCAGAGACAAUUACAUCAGGCGAAUAAAAGAUGCUUUCACAGGCUUUUGUUUUUGAGACAGGGUUUCUCUAUGUAGCUCUGGCUGUCCUAGAACUCUCUGUAUAGACAAGACUGUCCUAAAACUCACAGAGGUUCACCUGCCUCUGCCCCGAUUGCUG